RNAcentral lists this signal recognition particle RNA (99 nucleotides) under Bacteroidota bacterium. RNAcentral's name for it is "Bacteroidetes bacterium signal recognition particle sRNA small type". It matches the Rfam family "Bacteroidales small SRP", at positions 9 to 102 of the family's 107-position model. Rfam says of the family: The non-coding component of the signal recognition particle in Bacteroides Lineage: Bacteria; Pseudomonadati; Bacteroidota. The record is from RNAcentral.
CGGCGAGCGUCAUACGACUUGCUCCCUCCAAACUCCCCCAGGCCGGAAACGGAGCAAGGGUAGGAGGUUGUAGCAGUGCGAUAUGGUCGCUCGUCUUUU